UGUAUUUCUGGCAUCGAACCUGUAGCUUAACACUGUAUGAAAAUGUAUAUAUCUCGAAUUGUCGAUCAUGUCUAAGUAUAGACCCGGCGCGGCGUUAGAUUACAUAACACAAUCAACUUAACAUAUGUGACGAAGUUAACACCACUGCAGCUCAUGAUUUGGUCCUGUCUGGAUAUUAAAUAUCACCAUCAUCGUGCUAAGGCAAAAACUUUUAGAUCAAAAAGCUACAUACUCCGUAAUAGCUUCGUCCAGCUUUUGAGUAUUGCUCGUACAUUUGGAGCUCAGCUCUCAAGCAUACUCUUGGGAUUCUCGACUCAAUACAGAAGAGAGCAAUUCAGCUUAUAGGCUACCCAGAGUUGACCAGAAACUUGGACAGCUUUGAGCGUGGAAGUAUUUGCAAGAUACAAUCGACCAGGCAGACGAUUUGGUCUGUAGAUGCCCACAACGUGAAUUUAUCGGGAAGGACUCACUUCUUUGGAGAAGUGGAAGUCUGUGGAAACAGCUACCAAAGAAACGUCUUUCCCGAACAAUUAUUUUUAAUAUUGGAAUGAAUUUUUGAACCAUCAUUAAAUUUUCAAUUCUUUUUCGGAUUGUUAAACAUAAGUAUGUGAUAUAUUAUUAUUAUUAAUAAAAUUUUUUAAUAAAA
Diorhabda carinulata is the source of this 646-nucleotide long non-coding RNA. RefSeq lists it as uncharacterized. The transcript has 2 exons. Lineage: Eukaryota; Metazoa; Arthropoda; Insecta; Coleoptera; Chrysomelidae. The record is from RefSeq and is a predicted model, not a curated record.